RNAcentral lists this ribosomal RNA (484 nucleotides) under uncultured bacterium. RNAcentral's name for it is "partial 16S ribosomal RNA". It matches the Rfam family "Bacterial small subunit ribosomal RNA", at positions 30 to 507 of the family's 1533-position model. The record is from RNAcentral.
AUUGAACGCUGGCGGCAGGCUUAACACAUGCAAGUCGAGCGGAUGAAGGGAGCUUGCUCCUGGAUUCAGCGGCGGACGGGUGAGUAAUGCCUAGGAAUCUGCCUGGCAGUGGGGGAUAACGUCCGGAAACGGGCGCUAAUACCGCAUACGUCCUGAGGGAGAAAGUGGGGGAUCUUCGGACCUCACGCUAUCAGAUGAGCCUAGGUCGGAUUAGCUAGUUGGUGGGGUAAAGGCCUACCAAGGCGACGAUCCGUAACUGGUCUGAGAGGAUGAUCAGUCACACUGGAACUGAGACACGGUCCAGACUCCUACGGGAGGCAGCAGUGGGGAAUAUUAGGCAAUGGGCGAAAGCCUGAUCCAGCCAUGCCGCGUGUGUGAAGAAGGUCUUCGGAUUGUAAAGCACUUUAAGUUGGGAGGAAGGGCAGUAAGUUAAUACCUUGCUGUUUUGACGUUACCAACAGAAUAAGCACCGGCUAACUUCGUG